Molecule: long non-coding RNA, 327 nt
Organism: Schistocerca americana (American grasshopper)
Lineage: Eukaryota; Metazoa; Arthropoda; Insecta; Orthoptera; Acrididae
Exons: 4
Source: RefSeq, a predicted model, not a curated record
CCGUAGCCUCGACAAUAGCGCAGCGGCCACUCCAGUCCCAGACCAGGGAGAGCAGACCAGCUGAGAUUCAGAGAUCAGCUCUAUUGUUUAUUCUUCUAGAAAUUGGUUUGGAAUGCUUGCGGCUGUAGUAGCGGUGGCGGCCGCCUGGAGCGCUGUGGUGCACGCUGGGCCCUGCUGGAACCUGACCCACCCAGAAUGCUGGUUCUCGGGUCGGGCGCUCCUGCACGGCGGCCCCUCGCAGCUGGGCGACUUCCACGGCUGCGUGGACAGGCUGCGCCAGCAGUACUGCCUGCUCUCCCUGCGCCUCGGUCCCGCCGUCGACUCCCG